This 398-nucleotide unclassified non-coding RNA is filed under the name fungal sp. RNAcentral describes it as "partial internal transcribed spacer region". The stretch from base 1 to 46 matches the Rfam family "Eukaryotic small subunit ribosomal RNA", at positions 1786 to 1831 of the family's 1831-position model. The record is from RNAcentral. Lineage: Eukaryota; Fungi.
AAGUCGUAACAAGGUUUCCGUAGGUGAACCUGCGGAAGGAUCAUUAACACGUAUCCAAACGUUAAACCCCCCCGUGAACCUUCAGUGUACUCGUACGUCCGUUAGAAAAAGCAGCAAUCCCUGGUAAAUCAUCGCCGAACAGUUUUCGAUUCAGGGACGUCUGCAAGGAGCGUGCAUGUUGUGCGAAGCAAGUGGCCUGGCAUCCCCAAGCAGUUAGUGUCUGAAAGUGUCAUUAAUUGUGUAAGGAUGACGCAGUCACGAUCGUUGGAGGCCCACACGGCCGACGACAGGGUCACUGGGCGCAAGCCCCCCUAUAACAAACGCUGCUAAUCGCGGCCGCGAUAAUACACAGUCGACCAAAAACCGAACAACUGUUAACAAUGGAUAUCUUGGUUCUC